Molecule: long non-coding RNA, 2763 nt
Filed under: Physcomitrium patens
Lineage: Eukaryota; Viridiplantae; Streptophyta; Bryopsida; Funariales; Funariaceae
Description: long non-coding RNA (PPAT_LNC009507)
Source: RNAcentral
UUUUGAUGUACAAAGGUAGGAACUUUGAUGUUAUUUAUUGUUGAUGGAACAACAUGAACUUUGAGGUUGUUUGUAUGUUGAUGAAGUUUUUGAUGCUUAGCUCUGAAAUGCUGUACUCACUAAACUGACACAUUGCUGCUUUGGCUACUAUGUUUUUAAACCAUUUCUCAAUUAUAUGAAUUACAAGCAAUGUCUUCAAAUUCUAUUAUGAAGAUGAAAUAUUUUGCAAUUAUUGUUGUUGCAAUUGAUGAAUAAAUUAUCCAUAUCAAUGAUGUUGAAGAAUGCAUCUCUAUCUAAACAACUAUAUCUUGUAUUUGAGUAGGUUGGUCAUUCAUUCAAAUGGUGUUUUUUUCACAUUUGAUAUGUAUAUUUGAGUUUUUUUGCCUAGAUGUUCUGCAUGUAAUUGAUUUGAAUUUUGUGAUUGUAGGAUACAAGUUUGCCUCUUUAGGACAAGCAAUAUGCAUUCUUAGGGAGUUAAGCUAUGAUAUUUUCAAUAGUCUUUUAGCUUACAACAUAUCUAAGAUUUAUAUAAUUUUUUUGACAAUAAUAUCACCAAAUCUUUGAGAUUGGUGCACAAGUUUUUCAUAUUUGAUCAUAGUUAGAAGUAUUUUUUUUUUUUUUUUUUUUUUUUUUUUCUUGAAUGGUUCCAUAAAUAAUUUAGUGUGAAGUGAUGUAUAUUGGCAUGCAGCUUUGGAUAUACCAGAGCAAACAUUGCACAUGUCAAGCUUCUUUCACAACAUGUUGAGUCUUUUAUGCUCACUCUUUAUAAUGAACUACUGAUUCAUUUCUAUCAAUCUGAUCAAUUAGGUGCAAAGUUUGAAGUUUGACGAAGUCAAGAAAAGCUGUACUGUGAAAGGAGUGGAGACCUUCAAUUCCACUAAGAAGAAAAUAGAAGUUUGCCUCAGUGUGAAUUGGAAUUAUAAUUUAGUUCCAAUUUCUUUUAAUCGCAACAAAAUACAAAGCCAUUUAUAAAAAAUAAGUUUGUGUAGAUUAUGAUCAUCUUGGAUGUUGCAUCAUCCAUGUUGAUCUAUCUGCAAGGAAGAUCAUCCUUUCAAUUAGGAAUUGCUUCAAUAGUGUCUUCUUGGGUGAGACACAAGAGAGGAAAACAUACAUGCAUUAAAAAGGCACAUCUGAAAUUGGAUUGCUACUUCUUAAUAAAAAGAAGCAGAAGCUUGACUGAGAGGAAUUUUUCAUGCUAAUAUCUUAAACCCAUGCUACUGUAACACUUAGUAAGUUUUUCAGCUUAACAAAGCAACAUAAUUUGGCCUAGCAAUGGCAUGUAAAGCUCACUAUUUUAGGACCAUAUUGAAAGGAUUAAGUUUUGGUAGUACCUAGGAAUUCCAAAAGCAAAAUUUGAUUAACUGUGUAUGGAACCAUGUCCUGGAUAUUUUUUAAAUCAGUGCAUACUUUGAAAAGGUAUUAUUCAUUCACAAAUUUUCAUUUUGUUCAAUGGGCAAGGCUUCUCAAGAAUGAAUUUGGCACCAUGACCAUGUCUAUAGUAAAUUGUUGUAAUGUGAUAACACAGCCAUUAGGUGAAAGAAUAUAUAUAUAUAUAUAUAUAUAUACAUGUGUGUGUGUGUGUGUGUGUGUGAGUGUGUGUAUUAUAGAAGAGCUUAAAUGAAAUUAUUUUAGCAAAUUUUCUUUAAAAUAUAGAUAAUAGACAAAUAGGUAGUAAAAAUUAAUAAGUGUUAAUGUUGCCUUCUUUUUGAAGAGACUUCUACUUACUUUAUAGGAGCAUAAAUGAGCCAAAUCAAAAUAAAUAAGAUAAAUAGUUAAUAUGGGCAUCUUUAGGAAGAAACUAAGAAUAGAUUCUAAUAAAAAUUACCUCAAAUACUACGAAUUGAUAUUUGAAGAGGGUUGGUUGUGAACCAAUGUCAAAAUCAGAUCCCAAGGCACAAAAAUAUGCACCUAUGAUAAUUCUAGGGUUCUUUGGUUGAUUAAAGAAUGUAAUUUGAGAGCAAACUUAUGAGAGAAUUUUUGAAAGUUGAUUUCAUAUAAUUUGAAGAUAUAUUGAGGAUUUGAGAGAUUUUAAAAAAGAAAGAUUUAUUCAAAGAAUUUGGAUUUUUAGAAAUAAAAAGAAGUUUAUAAAUUUGAUGAUUUUGUAAAUAAUUUAGCAUAUUUAUGAGUAAAAAUUUGUUAGUUUUUCACUUUGUUUUUUUAAAUGUGUAAAAAAUUUGAUGUUAGUUGAAGAGUUAGAUUAAAGAUUGUGAGAGUUUUUGUGGAUUAUGAACUUAGAUAAUUGAAAUUUAGGGUCUGUAAGGAUUUUUGUAAUCUUAUAGCAUGUGCUAAUUUGAUUGAAGUGAAAAUUCGUGAGAGGAGUCAAGGCUUAAAUAGGCUAGUGCAUAGGUAUUCAAGUCUUGACUCCUCUCAUCUUCUUAUCAUUGUUUAAACGAUUUAGCAAUAAGAAAUCUUUACUGGAAGUUCAACAUUUAAGUUGGAGAAGGAAGAUGGCCAAUAUCCAAGAGAUUUUGAGAGCUUUUCUUUCAAUUGGUGAAUUCAAUUCUUUUCAAAUUUUAUAUAACUGUUAAUUGCUUGUAGAUUAAGGUCUAGAUGAAAUUUUAAUCAAAAUAAAUAAUUCAAUUAAUAUUUAUCAAGGUUUCAAAACAACUAUAAUAAUUGAUUAAGAUUUAUUUUAGAUUUUUUAGAUUUUUUUAGAAUUUAUUUAGGAUUUGAUUAGAAUCUAAAAUUUGAUUAGAAUUUGAUUAAGAUUUAAUUAAUAUUUAAGAUUUGAUAAAGAUUUUAUUAGGAUUUGACUAGGAUUUA